Molecule: ribosomal RNA, 277 nt
Filed under: Theileria annulata
Lineage: Eukaryota; Apicomplexa; Aconoidasida; Piroplasmida; Theileriidae
Description: partial small subunit ribosomal RNA
Rfam family: Eukaryotic small subunit ribosomal RNA
Source: RNAcentral
GAGUGACACAGGGAGGUAGUGACAAGAAAUAACAAUACGGGGCUUAAAGUCUUGUAAUUGGAAUGAUGGGAAUUUAAACCUCUUCCAGAGUAUCAAUUGGAGGGCAAGUCUGGUGCCAGCAGCCGCGGUAAUUCCAGCUCCAAUAGCGUAUAUUAAAAUUGUUGCAGUUAAAAAGCUCGUAGUUGAAUUUCUGGUGCAUUGCUUGUGUCCCUCUGGGGUCUGUGCAUGUGGCUUUUUUCGGACGGAGUUUCUUUGUCUGAAUGUUUACUUUGAGAAA